GUCAGAAACUUCUUCUGAUAGAUACUUCUAAAAUGGCCACCAUAUUUGAACUUUCUAGAACAUUCCUCUCCAUUUGAUUGCAAUGCAAAUGAAAUAAAUUCGUCUUCAAUUGUGCUUCAAUUUAGUUGAAACUCGACCAAAUCCUUAAAACAAUAACUAAAUAAAGCAAAGCAAAAAUCUAUGGAGAGAGUAAUAACAGUGAAAGAAGAAGAAAUUACUACUGUAGCUGCUGCUAGCAGCACUUCUUCUUCAUCAUCUUCAAGCUUUUCUCCUCGACCAAUGGAGGGUUUACACGAAAUGGGCCCACCUCCAUUUCUUACAAAGACGUAUGAAAUGGUAGAGGACCCAUCAACUGACUCAGUGGUUUCAUGGAGUCGAGCUCGUAACAGCUUCAUUGUUUGGGAUUCUCAUCAAUUCUCUACUACUCUGCUUCCUAAGUUCUUCAAGCACAAUAAUUUCUCCAGCUUCAUUCGUCAGCUUAAUACUUACGGUUUCAGAAAGAUUGAUCCGGACCGUUGGGAGUUUGCAAAUGAAGGGUUCUUAGGAGGGCAGAGGCAGCUUCUGAAGAGUAUCAAGAGGAGACGAAACGUUUCGAGUACUAUGCAGCAGCAAAACGGAGGAUCUUGUGUUGAAUUAGGACAGUUUGGAUUGGAUUGUGAAGUUGAGAGGCUUAGAAGAGAUAGAAACGUGUUAAUGGUGGAGAUCGUAACGCUUAAGCAGCAGCAACAGAAGUCUAAGGAGCUUAUUGCUUCAAUGGAGGAGAGGUUAAUGAGUACUGAGAAAAAACAGCAUCAAAUGAUCAAUUUUCUUGCGAAAGCUAUGAACAAUCCGUUGUUUAUUCAGCAAUUUUCUCAGAUGAGUGCUCGGAGAAGACAAGUGCCGGGUGUCGAAAUCGGGCGUAAGCGGAGGCUUUCUGCAAGUCCAAGUGUGGAGAAUUUGCAAGAAGAGGAAUUGGGUACUGAUGAAGAGUUGGGAGCUGAGAUUGACACGUUAUUGUCAGCUGAGUUGGACAAGGAAUCGAAUAGUAAUGUUAAUGAGAUAAUUUGGGAGGAUUUGCUGAAUGAUGAUGGGAAUGAUGAAGAAAUUCUUGGCAACGACGAACCAGAACUUGAGUUUGAUGAUUGGGGUGAGGAAUUACAAGAACUAGUUGAUAAAAUGGAAUAUUUAAGGUCAAAGCCAUGGCUUAACAUAUAAAAAAAGUGUUUGUCAUAUUGUACUGAGCUGGUCUCUGCAACUCGGUUAUAAGGCUUGCAGCAAGGCCAACAGAUACUCAAAUUCCUCUGUAUCCUUUAAUGAAUUUGGAUUUCAAUACUGUUUCUAAAUGGUUGCAGAAUUGUGUGUUUUUGUUUUGAUUCUAUGGUGCAUUUUGCAGGCGGACCGGCCAAUGAAGAUUCAUAGGGACUCGACUCGACUCGGUCAUCAACUCUUAUUGCCGAGUCAUUACAAGUUUUAUGUAGAUUUGCUUGUAUAGCUCUGUUGUGCAAUCUUUUGCUGUACAUUAGAAUCUACUACUACUAUAUAGUUUUGACUUACUUUAUAGUAUUUGAUCAUUUGAGCAAGACUAUAAAAUAUUAAUGAAUUAUUAUUCCUGUU
RNA transcript from Mercurialis annua (annual mercury), 1593 nucleotides. It is a transcript of the gene named heat stress transcription factor A-2, with no coding region annotated. The record is from RefSeq and is a predicted model, not a curated record. The transcript has 3 exons. NCBI's taxonomy places the organism in Eukaryota, Viridiplantae, Streptophyta, Magnoliopsida, Malpighiales, Euphorbiaceae.